This 235-nucleotide unclassified non-coding RNA is filed under the name Fusarium sp. RNAcentral describes it as "partial contains small subunit ribosomal RNA, internal transcribed spacer 1, and 5.8S ribosomal RNA". The stretch from base 1 to 46 matches the Rfam family "Eukaryotic small subunit ribosomal RNA", at positions 1786 to 1831 of the family's 1831-position model. Lineage: Eukaryota; Fungi; Ascomycota; Sordariomycetes; Hypocreales; Nectriaceae. RNAcentral also lists the same sequence under 1 other name. The record is from RNAcentral.
AAGUCGUAACAAGGUCUCCGUUGGUGAACCAGCGGAGGGAUCAUUACCGAGUUUACAACUCCCAAACCCCUGUGAACAUACCAAUCGUUGCCUCGGCGGGAUCGCCCCGGCGCCCCCGGGCCCGGACCCAGGCGCCCGCCGGAGGACCCCCAAAACUCACUGAUUCCACGGUGUAUCUUCUGAGUGACACAAGCAAAUAAAAUCAAAACUUUCAACAACGGAUCUCUUGGUUCUG